AUACGGAGGGUGCAAGCGUUAUCCGGAUUUAUUGGGUUUAAAGGGUGCGCAGGCGGCGAUGUAAGUCAGUGGUGAAAGGCUGCCGCUUAACGGUAGGACUGCCAUUGAUACUGCAUUGCUUGAGUAUGGUUGAGGUAAGCGGAAUGUGUGGUGUAGCGGUGAAAUGCAUAGAUAUCACACAGAACACCGAUUGCGAAGGCAGCUUACUAAGCCAUUACUGACGCUGAGGCACGAAAGCGUGGGUAGCGAACAGGAUUAGAAACCCCAGUAGUCC
RNAcentral lists this ribosomal RNA (274 nucleotides) under uncultured bacterium. RNAcentral describes it as "partial 16S ribosomal RNA". It matches the Rfam family "Bacterial small subunit ribosomal RNA", at positions 523 to 796 of the family's 1533-position model. The record is from RNAcentral.